This 300-nucleotide unclassified non-coding RNA is filed under the name uncultured Sebacina. RNAcentral describes it as "sequence contains ITS2". The record is from RNAcentral. Lineage: Eukaryota; Fungi; Basidiomycota; Agaricomycetes; Sebacinales; Sebacinaceae.
AACGCACCUUGCACCCUUUGGUAUUCCGAAGGGUAUGCUCGUUUGAGUGUCAUUGUACUCUCACACUCUCUGAUCUUUUUGGAUUCAGGGAGCGGUGGACUUGGGUGUUUGCUGCUUUCGUUGUAGCUCACCUCAAAUGCAUCAGUGCAUCUCUUGGUUGGACAUAGUACGGCGUGAUAAGUAUCUUCGCCGGCACCUCGCAAGAGGGUGGCCGAUUGGGAGCUCUGUGCUUUCAAACCGUCUUCGGACAAAUUUUGACAACUUGACCUCAAAUCGAGUAGGACUACCCGCUGAACUUAA